UUCUUCUUCUUCUUCUUCUUCUCUACCAUCGUAUUAUCCUUCUUCUCCUAGUGAAACUUCUGCUUCUCAAUCUUCUUCAAGUCUUCCCCUACUACCUUCCCAACCUUCUUCAAGUUCUGUCCAUCCUUAUGCUGCUGCUGCUCCCGCGCCUGUCUCUUCCGCUGCCUCCGCCGAUGAUGGAGCGUUUGGAGCUACCAAUAUUGCCAAGUCUCCACAGGAUAUUGCUCCAGGUGCAGAACCUGAUAUAGAUUUGCGUGAUUGGAGAGUUCACUUGCAGCCUGAUUCACGACAACGAAUUGUCGAUAAGAUAGCAAAGACACUAAAGAGACAUCUGCCAUUUUCUAGUGAAGAGGGACUGCUAGAACGGAAGAAAAUUGCUGUAAGGUUUGAGGAAGAGAUUUAUGAUGCUGCCACAAGUCAGGUUAUUGGUCGCACCAAAUAGAUAUAGAUGUGUGCACGUGCAUGCUUGUUUGCAUAAGUAUGCAACAUGUGAAUCAUUGGGUUGUUGAUUUUAUUAAAUAUUUAUUUAUGAGAAUAUUUUUCUUUGAAAUGGGCCAAAUGGUAAAAGUUCUGAUCAAACAUUAAACAUUAAGCAUAAUGCCUUUUCUUGUUCCCACCCCAUUUUAUAUGUCUGUGUGUGUGUUUCCAUUGAUUGUCAUGAGAUAUAAUCUUUCUUCUCAUUAUCUCAAUUUCAGUCUGAUUAUCUUCGGAAAACUAGUUUGAAGAUGCUUAAAAUGGAUAUGGAGACCAUUGCUCAAGAUGAUGUGGCCAAUUCAGCGCAAUCCAACUCUAGUGUCUGUAG
RNAcentral lists this unclassified non-coding RNA (802 nucleotides) under Hevea brasiliensis (rubber tree). Lineage: Eukaryota; Viridiplantae; Streptophyta; Magnoliopsida; Malpighiales; Euphorbiaceae. The record is from RNAcentral.